This 458-nucleotide ribosomal RNA is filed under the name uncultured bacterium. RNAcentral's name for it is "bacterial SSU rRNA". It matches the Rfam family "Bacterial small subunit ribosomal RNA", at positions 45 to 507 of the family's 1533-position model. The record is from RNAcentral.
GGCCUAACACAUGCAAGUCGAACGGUAACAGCGGAGCGUUNCUCCGGCUGACGAGUGGCGCACGGGUGAGUAACGCGUGGGAACCUGCCCUGGAGUGGGGAACAACCGCUGGAAACGGCGGCUAAUACCGCAUACGCCCCUUCGGGGGAAAGCUUUAUGCGCUCUGGGAUGGGCCCGCGUCGGAUUAGCUUGUUGGUGAGGUAACGGCUCACCAAGGCUACGAUCCGUAGCUGGUCUGAGAGGAUGAUCAGCCACACUGGGACUGAGACACGGCCCAGACUCCUACGGGAGGCAGCAGUGGGGAAUAUUGGACAAUGGGCGCAAGCCUGAUCCAGCAAUGCCGCGUGUGUGAAGAAGGCCUGCGGGUUGUAAAGCACUUUCAGUAGAGAAGAAAAGCCUCGGGUUAAUACCCCGGAGUCUUGACGUAACCUACAGAAGAAGCACCGGCUAACUCCGUG